This 438-nucleotide ribosomal RNA is filed under the name Triticum aestivum (bread wheat). RNAcentral describes it as "partial small subunit ribosomal RNA". The record is from RNAcentral. Lineage: Eukaryota; Viridiplantae; Streptophyta; Magnoliopsida; Poales; Poaceae.
AUGACUAGGGAUAACCUUAGGAAGAGACACAUCAUCAAACCCCUUGAUUGUGUUUACUGCUUGGAACAAGAGUCUUGUUCUCACCUAUUUUUUGAAUGUAUAGUUGCUAAACAUAUCUGGGCCCACAUUGAGGAAUAUUUCUCUAGUCAGAUUGGCUCAUCCUUCGAAUCUGUCGCCAGAUUCUGGAUUGCUACCAAAAAGUGCUUAAUUUUAAACACUGUUAGCUCAACUGUCCUUUGGUGCCUCUGGAAAUAUAGAAAUGCUAUGAUUUUCAGUAACACCUCCUGGAUUUCCAUUCCGCGGGUCUUGAGGUUGAUCAGGAACAUGGUGAGGAACUGGGCGAUUCUCUCCUCUGGAUCGGACAAGGACAAGUUGAUGAGCUUCGUGGAAACCCUAACAAGAUCCCUCCAGAAACCGUUGGCGAUCACUUGUGGCUGA